Molecule: unclassified non-coding RNA, 269 nt
Filed under: Hevea brasiliensis (rubber tree)
Lineage: Eukaryota; Viridiplantae; Streptophyta; Magnoliopsida; Malpighiales; Euphorbiaceae
Source: RNAcentral
GGGAAAGGAAGCAAUUGUUGCUGGUUUCUAUCAUGGAGGCUAUGAAGAACCAUUGUUAAUGCUUAUGAGAAGAAGGGGUGUGCAUGCUGGUUUGGUUGUCAAGGCAUUGAUUUCAUGUAAUCUCUGUAUAUGUUUGCAUCUUUAGGGCGAGGAAGGUGCACUUUCAAUGACGACAAGGUUGCGGUCAGCAAAUGCAUCAAAAGGACUUCCUGUAAAUUAUUGCUCAGGGUUUCGCUCAGUGAAUUUGGCACCUGCUUGUGCAGUUGAUG